GGGAGCAAUGACGUUAAUUCUCCAUAAAGAAUUGUCAUCAAGAAUUCCUAUGAAAUUAAUCAUCCAUUUGUGUGGUUAGGGUUUAAGAUUGAUUGCUACAGUCUGAAGUUUGGCUUCUGGCCAAACAAUGUGAUUUCUUUCCCAGUACGGAGCAGACUCUGGAGGACGGUUUUCCCUUGGGCUUGUUCUGUGGAAGAAGUGUUUCCCUCUGCUCUAUCUCAAUCUCACCCAGAAAAGAGUACUCCAAUUUUAGAAGGCGAACUAAGCUUCUGGUGACAAUCCGCCGGCUAGCUUAAGCCCACAAGACCUCCGGCAGGUCCUGCCUUCCCCUCUCCUCCAUAUGUCCUAACCGUGCCCACUUUCUGAGCUAUGGAGCUAAGGCAGAAUGGCGCCAGCACAGCUGCCUUGUCUCUCUGUGUGGGCAAGCAGCACAUGUGAGCUGGUUUCCGUGGCGAUUAAUUCUUCUUGCCGGCGAGGAAUGCCGGGAGGCUUUUCUUAAUUUAGCAAUGAAUGGAGGAGGGGAAUUAUGAAAGAAUUCCCUUCCACAACGGAUGAAUGCAUACCGGGGAGGGGCAGCGCGCAGUAUCGCGGCACUGUGCUAGAGAGCAAUGAAAGCCAGGACACAGAGACACCAAAAGAGGUAUUCUUUGAUCUAGUAAAACUGACCUCUUGGAAGUUUCACUAACAAGACUGCAUCUCUGGGCUGUAUCUCUCUGCUUGGACAUUGUCUCUGGAUGUUCCUCAUACCUAGAAGGCUCUUCUUUAUUUGCUCUGACCACUGACCUCUCUGGCUUCUUUUAAGUCCCAACUAAAAUCCCAUCUUUCACUGUAAUCUUUUCCCAGCCCCUCUUCAUUCUAGUUCCUUCCCUCUGUUAAGUGUCUCCUAUUUAUCCUGUAUAAAGCUUGCUUCAUAUAUUUGUUUGUAUAUUCUCUCCCCUAUUAGAUUGUAAAACUUGGAAUGAAGGGACUAUUUUUUGCCUCUUUUUGUAAUCCCAGGAUUUAGCAGAGUGCCAGACACACAGAGGGGUUUAAGAAAUGUGUCCUGAUUGACUGAUUGUUUCCCUAUAAUGUCUACUUCUCAGUUUGACCUGGGUAGCCAAUUGUUGUGACUUUCAGUUUUUUUGAUUUCCAUUUUGAUAGGAAUUUAGUGGUAGCUUAGAUACUGCUCUUUGAAAAAAAAAUUAUGUUACAGUUUAAUUAUUUUUGGUCUUGUUCUAUAUUUAGGUACCAUAAGGAUUUAAUGCCUAUAUGGUGCAUGUCCAAAAAUGUAUGCUUCAUUCCACAUCCUGAAUCCAUUCAUGAUCUCUCUAUUAAGAGGUGAGUAUACUAGUAUAUCAUGAGUUCUCUGGAUCAUGUACCAGUCCUUACCACAUUUAUUUCUUUUGCUUUCUAGAAGAAUGAAAAUA
This 1406-nucleotide long non-coding RNA is filed under the name Monodelphis domestica (gray short-tailed opossum). RNAcentral's name for it is "lncRNA (ENSMODG00000043898.1)". Lineage: Eukaryota; Metazoa; Chordata; Mammalia; Didelphimorphia; Didelphidae. The record is from RNAcentral.